RNAcentral lists this ribosomal RNA (2927 nucleotides) under Klebsiella michiganensis. Its description in RNAcentral is "bacterial LSU rRNA". It matches the Rfam family "Bacterial large subunit ribosomal RNA". The record is from RNAcentral. Lineage: Bacteria; Pseudomonadati; Pseudomonadota; Gammaproteobacteria; Enterobacterales; Enterobacteriaceae.
GGGUUGUGAGGUUAAGCGACUAAGCGUACACGGUGGAUGCCCUGGCAGUCAGAGGCGAUGAAGGACGUGCUAAUCUGCGAAAAGCGUCGGUAAGGUGAUAUGAACCGUUACAGCCGGCGAUGUCCGAAUGGGGAAACCCAGUGCAAUUCGUUGCACUAUCGUUAACUGAAUACAUAGGUUAACGAGGCGAACCGGGGGAACUGAAACAUCUAAGUACCCCGAGGAAAAGAAAUCAACCGAGAUUCCCCCAGUAGCGGCGAGCGAACGGGGAGCAGCCCGGAGUCUGAAUCAGCUUGUGUGUUAGUGGAAGCGUCUGGAAAGUCGCAGGGUACAGGGUGAUACUCCCGUACACUAAAACACACAGGUUGUGAACUCGAAGAGUAGGGCGGGACACGUGGUAUCCUGUCUGAAUAUGGGGGGACCAUCCUCCAAGGCUAAAUACUCCUGACUGACCGAUAGUGAACCAGUACCGUGAGGGAAAGGCGAAAAGAACCCCGGCGAGGGGAGUGAAAAAGAACCUGAAACCGUGUACGUACAAGCAGUAGGAGCCCACUUGUUGGGUGACUGCGUACCUUUUGUAUAAUGGGUCAGCGACUUAUAUUCUGUAGCAAGGUUAACCGUAUAGGGGAGCCGCAGGGAAACCGAGUCUUAACUGGGCGUUAAGUUGCAGGGUAUAGACCCGAAACCCGGUGAUCUAGCCAUGGGCAGGUUGAAGGUUGGGUAACACUAACUGGAGGACCGAACCGACUAAUGUUGAAAAAUUAGCGGAUGACUUGUGGCUGGGGGUGAAAGGCCAAUCAAACCGGGAGAUAGCUGGUUCUCCCCGAAAGCUAUUUAGGUAGCGCCUCGUGAACUCAUCUUCGGGGGUAGAGCACUGUUUCGGCUAGGGGGUCAUCCCGACUUACCAACCCGAUGCAAACUACGAAUACCGAAGAAUGUUAUCACGGGAGACACACGGCGGGUGCUAACGUCCGUCGUGAAGAGGGAAACAACCCAGACCGCCAGCUAAGGUCCCAAAGUCAUGGUUAAGUGGGAAACGAUGUGGGAAGGCCCAGACAGCCAGGAUGUUGGCUUAGAAGCAGCCAUCAUUUAAAGAAAGCGUAAUAGCUCACUGGUCGAGUCGGCCUGCGCGGAAGAUGUAACGGGGCUAAACCAUGCACCGAAGCUGCGGCAGCGACACUAUGUGUUGUUGGGUAGGGGAGCGUUCUGUAAGCCGUUGAAGGUGGCCUGUGAGGGUUGCUGGAGGUAUCAGAAGUGCGAAUGCUGACAUAAGUAACGAUAAUGCGGGUGAAAAACCCGCACGCCGGAAGACCAAGGGUUCCUGUCCAACGUUAAUCGGGGCAGGGUGAGUCGACCCCUAAGGCGAGGCCGAAAGGCGUAGUCGAUGGGAAACAGGUUAAUAUUCCUGUACUCGGUGUUACUGCGAAGGGGGGACGGAGAAGGCUAUGUUGGCCGGGCGACGGUUGUCCCGGUUUAAGCAUGUAGGCGGAUGUUCCAGGUAAAUCCGGAACGUUACUAACGCUGAGGUGUGAUGACGAGGCACUACGGUGCUGAAGUGACAAAUGCCCUGCUUCCAGGAAAAGCCUCUAAGCAUCAGGUAACAUCAAAUCGUACCCCAAACCGACACAGGUGGUCAGGUAGAGAAUACCAAGGCGCUUGAGAGAACUCGGGUGAAGGAACUAGGCAAAAUGGUGCCGUAACUUCGGGAGAAGGCACGCUGAUGGUAGGUGAAGUGACUUGCUCAUGGAGCUGAAAUCAGUCGAAGAUACCAGCUGGCUGCAACUGUUUAUUAAAAACACAGCACUGUGCAAACACGAAAGUGGACGUAUACGGUGUGACGCCUGCCCGGUGCCGGAAGGUUAAUUGAUGGGGUUAUCCGUAAGGAGAAGCUCUUGAUCGAAGCCCCGGUAAACGGCGGCCGUAACUAUAACGGUCCUAAGGUAGCGAAAUUCCUUGUCGGGUAAGUUCCGACCUGCACGAAUGGCGUAAUGAUGGCCAGGCUGUCUCCACCCGAGACUCAGUGAAAUUGAACUCGCUGUGAAGAUGCAGUGUACCCGCGGCAAGACGGAAAGACCCCGUGAACCUUUACUAUAGCUUGACACUGAACACUGGUCCUUGAUGUGUAGGAUAGGUGGGAGGCUUUGAAGUGUGGACGCCAGUCUGCAUGGAGCCAUCCUUGAAAUACCACCCUUUAAUGGCUGGUGUUCUAACGUGGGCCCCUGAUCGGGGUUGCGGACAGUGUCUGGUGGGUAGUUUGACUGGGGCGGUCUCCUCCUAAAGAGUAACGGAGGAGCACGAAGGUCAGCUAAUCCUGGUCGGACAUCAGGAGGUUAGUGCAAUGGCAUAAGCUGGCUUGACUGCGAGCGUGACGGCGCGAGCAGGUGCGAAAGCAGGUCAUAGUGAUCCGGUGGUUCUGAAUGGAAGGGCCAUCGCUCAACGGAUAAAAGGUACUCCGGGGAUAACAGGCUGAUACCGCCCAAGAGUUCAUAUCGACGGCGGUGUUUGGCACCUCGAUGUCGGCUCAUCACAUCCUGGGGCUGAAGUAGGUCCCAAGGGUAUGGCUGUUCGCCAUUUAAAGUGGUACGCGAGCUGGGUUUAGAACGUCGUGAGACAGUUCGGUCCCUAUCUGCCGUGGGCGCUGGAGAAUUGAGGGGGGCUGCUCCUAGUACGAGAGGACCGGAGUGGACGCAUCACUGGUGUUCGGGUUGUCAUGCCAAUGGCAUUGCCCGGUAGCUAAAUGCGGAAGAGAUAAGUGCUGAAAGCAUCUAAGCACGAAACUUGCCCCGAGAUGAGUUCUCCCUGACCCUUUAAGGGUCCUGAAGGAACGUUGAAGACGACGACGUUGAUAGGCCGGGUGUGUAAGCGCAGCGAUGCGUUGAGCUAACCGGUACUAAUGAACCGUGAGGCUUAACCUUACAACGCCGAAG